This 72-nucleotide transfer RNA is filed under the name Toxocara canis (dog roundworm). It matches the Rfam family "tRNA". From Rfam's summary of the family: Transfer RNA (tRNA) molecules are approximately 80 nucleotides in length. Their secondary structure includes four short double-helical elements and three loops (D, anti-codon, and T loops). The record is from Rfam by way of RNAcentral. Lineage: Eukaryota; Metazoa; Nematoda; Chromadorea; Rhabditida; Toxocaridae.
UGGGCAGUAGUUCAGUGGUAGAGCUCCCGCUUCGUAUGCGGGACGACCUGGGUUUUAUUCCCGUCUGCAUAC